AUGGUGAGUUCCAGCCCUGAACACCGCCAGUGUAGCCAAGGCUGAAGAAAAAAAAACAGGAAAAGAACAAAAAAGCCCUGUUGUGCAGACAAUUUGGUUCCCCCACCUCAGAUCACAAAAGGGAAUGCUAUGGGAGGGGUGCCUAAAGUCCUUAAGGCUCUAUUAUUUCAGAGCUGUGGUGAUUAAAUUAACCUGCUAGCUACUAUGUUGAAGUCUGUUUGAAACAAUGGGCUAGGAUGGUAUAAAAACCUCAGGUAUGUUGGAGACUGUCCUUUUCAACAGAAACGUUCUUCAAUGGCUGCUGCUGCUGGACUGUAGAAGGAGUGUGAUCUGUUUAGCAUGGAACCAAUAACUUUAAACUGCAUUUCACCACCAGGCCAAGUACGGUCAAAACAUGAGAGAUCCUUAGACCAGAGGAUAAACAAGCUCAAAACAAAAAAAGGAAAGACAGCUGAAAAGGAAAAAUCACCAGCAUCAGUGACUGAUGGAUGAAGCCCAGUAAAUAUAUUCUGCUUAUUGGUUUGGUUGUUUUAUGAGGUUUUGUAUUUUAAGUAAAUACAUAGGUGUAGGUGAGAAAGAUAGUAAAGUUGAGUUUUGUAAAAAAAAAAAAAUGUCCUCUCCCCCCGCCCCCCAUAGGCAUGGGCAACUUUUCUGACAAUGCUGUAGUUAGAGCUACAAGGACACCUCCUCCAGAACUGCCAAAGAACCAAGAAUCUGCUUUGAGACCUUUAACAAGGCAAAACAGCACAAGAGUGCAGAUGAAGCAUCAGGGCAGGCCAAACCUCAUAUAUAUCAAACCCAAGGACAAAACAAAAGACUCUGGUAAAAAACAACCACGCCACCGCAACUCCAGUUCCUCAACGGCCACUGCCACACCAAGCCCUGAGGAAACUGUGAGAAAAAACACCCACAUUCACAAACCCGGAGCAUGCGCUCUAGGGGUUGUGAAUAAAAAACCAAGGACUGACAAACCAUUCUCCCCAAACCAGAAGCUUGUCACAGCUCCCCCAUAUUCUAGUAUUUGGGAAGAAUUUGAUCCUUCAUUCAGAAAACUGAUGGACGCUGUAUCCUCGGGGGGUCUAAAAGAACAGCAUUCUAAAAAGGUUUGGGGAAAAUAUGAUGCUUUGUUCAGAACACUGGUGAACUCUGUAUCCUCAGGGGCCUAAAAGAAAGGAGGGCUGGAAAGGGUGGCUCUGAGCAGGUGUGACUAGUCGUGGAAAGGGGCCUGGGUAAAAGGGGCACCCUCCAGGGUACACAUCAGCUCAUGUGUAAACAAAAGGGGGGGGACAGCGCUUGGGGGAUAAAGAAGAUGGCUGCCAAAA
This is a long non-coding RNA of Chrysemys picta bellii (western painted turtle), 1322 nucleotides long. RefSeq lists it as uncharacterized. The record is from RefSeq and is a predicted model, not a curated record. NCBI's taxonomy places the organism in Eukaryota, Metazoa, Chordata, Testudines, Emydidae.